RNAcentral lists this ribosomal RNA (2921 nucleotides) under Bacillus velezensis. Its description in RNAcentral is "23S ribosomal RNA". It matches the Rfam family "Bacterial large subunit ribosomal RNA". The record is from RNAcentral. Lineage: Bacteria; Bacillati; Bacillota; Bacilli; Caryophanales; Bacillaceae.
CGGUUAAGUUAGAAAGGGCGCACGGUGGAUGCCUUGGCACUAGGAGCCGAUGAAGGACGGGACGAACACCGAUAGCUUCGGGAGCUGUAAGCAAGCUUUGAUCCGGAGAUUUCCGAAUGGGGAAACCCACCACUCGUAAUGGAGUGGUAUCCAUAUCUGAAUACAUAGGAUAUGAGAAGGCAGACCCGGGAACUGAAACAUCUAAGUACCCGGAGGAAGAGAAAGCAAAUGCGAUUCCUGAGUAGCGGCGAGCGAAACGGGACCAGCCCAAACCAAGAGGCUUGCCUCUUGGGGUUGUAGGACACUCUGUACGGAGUUACAAAGGAACGAGGUAGAUGAAGAGGUCUGGAAAGGCCCGCCAUAGAAGGUAACAGCCCUGUAGUCAAAACUUCGUUCUCUCCUGAGUGGAUCCUGAGUACGGCGGAACACGUGAAAUUCCGUCGGAAUCCGGGAGGACCAUCUCCCAAGGCUAAAUACUCCCUAGUGACCGAUAGUGAACCAGUACCGUGAGGGAAAGGUGAAAAGCACCCCGGAAGGGGAGUGAAAGAGAUCCUGAAACCGUGUGCCUACAAGUAGUCAGAGCCCGUUAACGGGUGAUGGCGUGCCUUUUGUAGAAUGAACCGGCGAGUUACGAUCCCGUGCAAGGUUAAGCAGAAGAUGCGGAGCCGCAGCGAAAGCGAGUCUGAAUAGGGCGAAUUGAGUACGUGGUCGUAGACCCGAAACCAGGUGAUCUACCCAUGUCCAGGGUGAAGUUCAGGUAACACUGAAUGGAGGCCCGAACCCACGCACGUUGAAAAGUGCGGGGAUGAGGUGUGGGUAGGGGUGAAAUGCCAAUCGAACCUGGAGAUAGCUGGUUCUCUCCGAAAUAGCUUUAGGGCUAGCCUCAAGGUAAGAGUCUCGGAGGUAGAGCACUGAUUGGACUAGGGGCCCCUACCGGGUUACCGAAUUCAGUCAAACUCCGAAUGCCGAUGACUUAUCCUUGGGAGUCAGACUGCGAGUGAUAAGAUCCGUAGUCGAAAGGGAAACAGCCCAGACCGCCAGCUAAGGUCCCAAAGUAUACGUUAAGUGGAAAAGGAUGUGGAGUUGCUUAGACAACCAGGAUGUUGGCUUAGAAGCAGCCACCAUUUAAAGAGUGCGUAAUAGCUCACUGGUCGAGUGACUCUGCGCCGAAAAUGUACCGGGGCUAAACGUAUCACCGAAGCUGCGGACUGUUCUUCGAACAGUGGUAGGAGAGCGUUCUAAGGGCUGUGAAGCAAGACCGGAAGGACUUGUGGAGCGCUUAGAAGUGAGAAUGCCGGUAUGAGUAGCGAAAGAGGGUGAGAAUCCCCUCCACCGAAUGCCUAAGGUUUCCUGAGGAAGGCUCGUCCGCUCAGGGUUAGUCGGGACCUAAGCCGAGGCCGAAAGGCGUAGGCGAUGGAUAACAGGUUGAUAUUCCUGUACCACCUCCUCACCAUUUGAGCAAUGGGGGACGCAGGAGGAUAGGGUAAGCGCGGUAUUGGAUAUCCGCGUCCAAGCAGUUAGGCUGGGAAAUAGCAAAUCCGUUUCCCGUGAAGGCUGAGCUGUGAUGGCGAGCGAAUUUAGUAGCGAAGUUCCUGAUUCCACACUGCCAAGAAAAGCCUCUAGCGAGGUGAGAGGUGCCCGUACCGCAAACCGACACAGGUAGGCGAGGAGAGAAUCCUAAGGUGAUCGAGAGAACUCUCGUUAAGGAACUCGGCAAAAUGACCCCGUAACUUCGGGAGAAGGGGUGCUCUGUUAGGGUGCAAGCCCGAGAGAGCCGCAGUGAAUAGGCCCAGGCGACUGUUUAGCAAAAACACAGGUCUCUGCGAAGCCGUAAGGCGAAGUAUAGGGGCUGACGCCUGCCCGGUGCUGGAAGGUUAAGAGGAGCGCUUAGCGUAAGCGAAGGUGCGAAUUGAAGCCCCAGUAAACGGCGGCCGUAACUAUAACGGUCCUAAGGUAGCGAAAUUCCUUGUCGGGUAAGUUCCGACCCGCACGAAAGGCGCAACGAUCUGGGCACUGUCUCAACGAGAGACUCGGUGAAAUUAUAGUACCUGUGAAGAUGCAGGUUACCCGCGACAGGACGGAAAGACCCCGUGGAGCUUUACUGCAGCCUGAUAUUGAAUGUUGGUACAGCUUGUACAGGAUAGGUAGCCUUGGAAACCGGAGCGCCAGCUUCGGUGGAGGCAUCGGUGGGAUACUACCCUGGCUGUAUUGACCUUCUAACCCGCCGCCCUUAUCGGGCGGGGAGACAGUGUCAGGUGGGCAGUUUGACUGGGGCGGUCGCCUCCUAAAAGGUAACGGAGGCGCCCAAAGGUUCCCUCAGAAUGGUUGGAAAUCAUUCGCAGAGUGUAAAGGCACAAGGGAGCUUGACUGCGAGACCUACAAGUCGAGCAGGCGAAAGUCGGGCUUAGUGAUCCGGUGGUUCCGCAUGGAAGGGCCAUCGCUCAACGGAUAAAAGCUACCCCGGGGAUAACAGGCUUAUCUCCCCCAAGAGUCCACAUCGACGGGGAGGUUUGGCACCUCGAUGUCGGCUCAUCGCAUCCUGGGGCUGUAGUCGGUCCCAAGGGUUGGGCUGUUCGCCCAUUAAAGCGGUACGCGAGCUGGGUUCAGAACGUCGUGAGACAGUUCGGUCCCUAUCCGUCGCGGGCGCAGGAAAUUUGAGAGGAGCUGUCCUUAGUACGAGAGGACCGGGAUGGACGCACCGCUGGUGUACCAGUUGUUCUGCCAAGGGCAUCGCUGGGUAGCUAUGUGCGGACGGGAUAAGUGCUGAAAGCAUCUAAGCAUGAAGCCCCCCUCAAGAUGAGAUUUCCCAUUCCGCAAGGAAGUAAGAUCCCUGAAAGAUGAUCAGGUUGAUAGGUCUGAGGUGGAAGUGUGGCGACACAUGGAGCUGACAGAUACUAAUCGAUCGAGGACUUAACCAAUUU